RNAcentral lists this non-coding RNA (24 nucleotides) under Drosophila ananassae. Lineage: Eukaryota; Metazoa; Arthropoda; Insecta; Diptera; Drosophilidae. RNAcentral also lists the same sequence under 8 other names. The record is from RNAcentral.
UUUCACCUAUCGUUCCAUUUGCAG